Molecule: ribosomal RNA, 887 nt
Filed under: Salmonella enterica
Lineage: Bacteria; Pseudomonadati; Pseudomonadota; Gammaproteobacteria; Enterobacterales; Enterobacteriaceae
Also listed under: 1 other name
Description: partial 23S ribosomal RNA
Rfam family: Bacterial large subunit ribosomal RNA
Source: RNAcentral
AUAGGGGAGCCGAAGGGAAACCGAGUCUUAACUGGGCGUUAAGUUGCAGGGUAUAGACCCGAAACCCGGUGAUCUAGCCAUGGGCAGGUUGAAGGUUGGGUAACACUAACUGGAGGACCGAACCGACUAAUGUUGAAAAAUUAGCGGAUGACUUGUGGCUGGGGGUGAAAGGCCAAUCAAACCGGGAGAUAGCUGGUUCUCCCCGAAAGCUAUUUAGGUAGCGCCUCGUGAACUCAUCUUCGGGGGUAGAGCACUGUUUCGGCUAGGGGGUCAUCCCGACUUACCAACCCGAUGCAAACUGCGAAUACCGAAGAAUGUUAUCACGGGAGACACACGGCGGGUGCUAACGUCCGUCGUGAAGAGGGAAACAACCCAGACCGCCAGCUAAGGUCCCAAAGUCACAGUUAAGUGGGAAACGAUGUGGGAAGGCUCAGACAGCCAGGAUGUUGGCUUAGAAGCAGCCAUCAUUUAAAGAAAGCGUAAUAGCUCACUGGUCGAGUCGGCCUGCGCGGAAGAUGUAACGGGGCUAAACUGUGCACCGAAGCUGCGGCAGCGACGCUUAUGCGUUGUUGGGUAGGGGAGCGUUCUGUAAGCCUGCGAAGGUGUCCUGUGAGGGAUGCUGGAGGUAUCAGAAGUGCGAAUGCUGACAUAAGUAACGAUAAUGCGGGUGAAAAGCCCGCUCGCCGGAAGACCAAGGGUUCCUGUCCAACGUUAAUCGGGGCAGGGUGAGUCGACCCCUAAGGCGAGGCCGAAAGGCGUAGUCGAUGGGAAACGGGUUAAUAUUCCCGUACUUGGUGUUACUGCGAAGGGGGGACGGAGAAGGCUAUGUUGGCCGGGCGACGGUUGUCCCGGUUUAAGCGUGUAGGCUGGUUUUCCAGGCAAAUCCG